Molecule: transfer RNA, 73 nt
Filed under: Dictyocaulus viviparus (bovine lungworm)
Lineage: Eukaryota; Metazoa; Nematoda; Chromadorea; Rhabditida; Metastrongylidae
Rfam family: tRNA
About the family: Transfer RNA (tRNA) molecules are approximately 80 nucleotides in length. Their secondary structure includes four short double-helical elements and three loops (D, anti-codon, and T loops). Further hydrogen bonds mediate the characteristic L-shaped molecular structure. tRNAs have two regions of fundamental functional importance: the anti-codon, which is responsible for specific mRNA codon recognition, and the 3' end, to which the tRNAs corresponding amino acid is attached (by aminoacyl-tRNA synthetases). tRNAs cope with the degeneracy of the genetic code in two manners: having more than one tRNA (with a specific anti-codon) for a particular amino acid; and 'wobble' base-pairing, i.e. permitting non-standard base-pairing at the 3rd anti-codon position.
Source: Rfam by way of RNAcentral
GCCUCGGUAGUGUAAUGAAUUAGCACGGCAGACCGGAUAUCUGUAAGUGCGGGUUCGAGCCCCGCAUGAGGGU